AACGUCAGUAGCGGCAAAAGCCUCGACGAAUGGGCGAUUCGAUGCCAGUGAUGCCCAACGACAUUACAAUCCACUCGAUGUACAGUUGAAAGGCACGCGAGAGUCUACGGCCGAGUAGAGGAGGUCGAACGCGUUUUUUAUUCCCCCCUGACACAUGAAAGUGAAGUGAUUGCACACGAUAUGCAUGACAUACGUGAUCGAAAAGACAAAAAUAACUGUGAAUUAACUUCAUCGAUGUAAAUGUGAACAAGUUAAUUACGAUUGUAGUCACUUAAGCUCGAAAAUAUUCGUUGUGGAGGGCACGAGCGGAGGGACCAAGAGUCAUUAUUUUGUCACAAAGCUAAAUGCACAGUGGAAAGUAUAGGCUGAAGGUGGUAUCAAUGCAGUGUGAAAUAGUGUACCGGUGAUCGUGAACCCAAUUAGCCACUUAACCCUUUCGUCAUUAAAACGGAUAACGCUUCACGAUAAAGGGAAUAAGGCCCAUUUACGAAGAAGCAACAAGUGUUAUUUUUAACCCCAUAGGAGUAUUAUUAUUACUACUAUUAUUACUAAAUCGUCAAAAUGCUCAAGUUCAUACGAGGAAAGAGCCAACAGCCGACACCGGAGAGGCAGAAGCUGCUGAAGGAUCUGUUUGCGUUUAGAAAGACUGUCCAGCAUGGAUUCCCCAACAAACCGACUGCUCUCGCGUGGGAUGCGAGCCUCCGGCUGAUGAUCAUCGGCACUGCCUCUGGUGCCAUCAAAGUUUUUGGAAGGCCUGGUGUUGAAUUUUAUGGACAACAUUCAACUGAGAGCGGUGAAACUGCUGUUACCAGAAUCAUUGCACUGCCGAAUGAGGGACGUCUCGUGUCACUGUGCGAUGACAAUUCUCUCCACUUAUGGGAGAUUAAUGAGAAUUCUGUGGUGGAGACAAAGUCAUUGGCACUGGAGGGUAAAUUGAAGAAAAUUUCGGCAAUCUGUCUGGAGUCAUCGGGAGAGAAUUUACUCCUUGGAACUGAAGGGGGCAAUAUUUAUCUUCUGGAUUUGAAGAAAUUUAAGAUGUCUGAUAAUAUUAUUUAUCAAGAUGUUGUUAUGCAGAAUGUCCCUGAGGAUUACAAGAAGAAUCCGGGAGCGGUGGAGGCUAUAGCCGAGCAACCUGGUCAUCCCGACAGUAUCCUCAUUGGUUACAACCGUGGUCUCAUGGUUCUCUGGAAUAAAGCCACACCCGGUGCUCAACAGUUGAUGGGUUUAUUUUCCCGUGCCCAGACAUUUAUUUCUACUCAACAACUGGAAUCGGUUCACUGGAUAUCUGAGGAUAGAUUUGUAUCGUCACACAAUGAUGGAUCGUACAUGUUUUGGAGUCCGGGUAGUGAUUCAACAUCCGAGCCAACUACAGUUUAUGGACCAUAUCCAUGCAAGGCUAUUUCGAAAAUCUUCGUCUACAGUUUGCCUGAUGACGACGAGAUGAUGCUCUUCUCUGGUGGCAUGCCCCGUUCAAGUUACGGAGACCGUCACACAAUAACUGCAAUGACAAAAUCCAAACACGUGGUUUUCGACCUGACCUCCAAAGUCAUAGACUUCUUCGUUGUGACUUCUAAACCUCACGUGGAAACUGAAUCCUCAGACGACAUAGAUGAGAAAGAUCCUUUGAAAAAUAUUCCGGGUCCGGAGGCCCUGAUAAUCCUCGCAGAAGAGGAAAUCGUUGCAAUAGAUCUAACAGAUCCUGACUGGAAAAUGAUGGCCCUCCCUUAUCUCGUCUCUCUCCACGCGAGCGCAGUCACGUGCUCCCAACAUGUACCCAACGUUCCGGAGGAGCUCUGGAAUUCCGUAGUAACUUCCGGCAAAACGCAAACCGAGCAUCUGUACUCUGAUAAAGAAUGGCCAAUAGACGGUGGUGUUCUUCUCUGUCAGAAAGGCAACAAAAAAUUGACGGAGAACAAGAGAGAUCUCUUGUUAACUGGUCACGAGGAUGGGACGAUUCGCUUCUGGGACGCCUCCGGUGUCACCCUGACCCCUCUGUACAAAUACAGUUCGUCUCUUUUGUUUACUGGUGAGCAUCUAGAUGUUCUGGAGCAGUCACCAGACGAGGAUCAGGAAGAGUGGCCGCCCUUCCGGAAAGUCGGUACCUUCGAUCCUUACUCGGACGAUCCUCGUUUGGCUGUCAAGAAGAUCCUUCUUUGUCCACUGUCCUCAACCUUAAUCGUAGCAGGCACUGCAGGCCACAUAAUAGUCGCCAAGAUCAUCUCACAAGUAAUACAAAAGCAGAUGAAAGCCGUCACCAUGAACAUUGUCAAUGAUCGCGAUGGUUUCGCCUGGAAGGGUCACGAUAGUCUCCCAGUGAGAACAGCUGAGAUCUCCUUUUCCAUCGGUUUUCAGCCUCAAAAUCUCGUUCAACUUUACCCACCAGCCGCUGUUACAGCAUUGACAGUUCACAGUGAAUGGGGACUGAUGGCUGCGGGAACAGCCCAUGGUCUCGCUGUCUUCGAUUACGUUCGCAAUAAGCCAGUCAGUGUGAAAUGCACAUUGAAUCCGAAUGAUCGAUCAGGCUCGGGUGAUACUCCGAUCUCGCGAAGAAAAUCCUUCAAGAAAUCAUUGAGAGAGUCAUUCAGGAGAUUGAGGAAAGGAAGAUCUCAGCGUAGGGCUACAACAGCUAGUCCUUCAGGUAAUAUCACUGAGAAAAAGAAACUGGAGGCACCGGCUCCUGGUGGAAUUGGUGGAGAGGGAGCUGUUGAUAUCAGACCUGUUGAGAGACAGAUUGAAGCACGUCCAGCUGAUGAUUCACUGGGUUCGAUGGUCAGGAGUCUUUAUUUUGCUAGGAGUUUUAUCGUCAGCAUGCAAAAUACAACGCCAACACUCUGGGCCGGCACCAAUAAUGGUACUGUCUAUGUUUUCACACUUGCCAUUCCUGCUGGUGUUAGAAGGGCUGAAGAGGAUGUUGUCUGCACACUUGGCAAGGAAAUUCAGCUAAAGCAUCGUGCACCAGUGAUAGCUAUCACAAUUCUCGAUGGUUCCAGUGUACCAUUGCCAGAGCCUUUUGAAGCUGAAAAAGGUGUUGCCCCUGGGCCAGAUAUGACUGCACCUCAUCGCGUUGUUAUAGCCAGUGAGGAGCAGUUCAAAAUAUUUAAUCUGCCAUCAUUGAAGCCAUUCUGCAAGUAUAAACUUACUGCCCAUGAGGGAUCACGUGUUCGUAAGACAGGUUUCGCCAAGUUCACCUGUCCAGUUGAACCUGCUGGUAUUCACGAGGAGACUUGUCUACUUUGUCUCACUAAUCUUGGUGAAUGUUUGAUAUUAAGUAUACCUGAAUUGAGGAGACAACUCAAUGCAGCUGCUAUUAAACGUGAGGAUAUCAAUGGCAUUUCGUCUCUCACUUUUACCAAAGGAGGGGAGGCUCUUUAUCUUCACUCGAGUUCCGAGCUUGAACGCAUUUCACUGUCUGCUAAUAAUGUUACAAAAGCACAUUGUGCCUUAAAUUUACCACCUAAUGCAAGAUCAACACCCGAGACUACUGUCAGCUCGGUCCAGUCGAUCAAGGAGGAGGAGGGUGAGGGUGAACAGGAGGGAGUCGUUGAGGGAACUGGUGAGAAGGAGAUUGAGGCACCUGGGGCAGCUCGGGCUGUCACGGAAAACGGAAUUGUUGGAUCCACCGGUGAUAAUAACUCUAAAGAGCCAUCAUUGAGGCCAGCAGCGAGCACCACUGAUAUCAAUGGAGACGAGGAUCGACAAGACAUUAAUUCCAUCGGCGACAUCACUAUCGACAGCGUUAAGGAUCAUCUGCUUAACAGUUCACUUUUCAGAAAUGCAACGAGUUCGGAAGAUCUUCAUAAUAGGCUUGCUGGCCUCAAGAUGGAAGUUACAUCGCGCACUUCGGAGAUAUCAACCCAAAAUCAGUCGGUUGUUGUUAAAACAACAACUGUCAUAUCACAGACUUCGAGUAAUGGCACCACUAAUGGUGAAGUUGAAACGAAUCAGAGUAGUGAAUCCCAAGAAGUUAAUAGCACUACAGUAGAACGAGAAAUACGAAGUGGUACCGAGACAACAACAACGCAUGCAACAAUUACACUACCGCCCAAUGUUGAGGUUUGCCCAUGAGCUGUUUAAUGAUAAUUGAUUUUGUGAUUAUUUUCUGUAAUGCAUGUAACUGCUUAAACUAACCAACAUUCAUUAAUUCAACUGGUGAUUAGCGCUGCAGAUCUAGCCAACUUAGAAGUCCAAACGAUCACAGUGACAACGGAAAAAUCCAAGUCAUCAAUGCCGAGAACCGAGGAAAUAAGCUCUCAAAAUUAAUUUACAGACUGCGUAUUUCCCCUCCCUCCACCUCUCGAAUUAUAAUAAAUAAUGCAUAUAUUUUAAUGCCCCCAUUAUUUUAUCAAUAACUAGAAUUUCCGAUAAAUAAUCACCGUUGCAAAGGCGAUAGAUAGAGUUUAUACCUAUGCCGAAAUAAAUUUUAUAAUAUGACGAGAGAAACAAAACAUUUAGAUUUGUACGCAGAUUAUAGUAUUAUGAGUGAAACAGCGCACGCUAAAUUUUCAACGAAUUCAACACAUAAAGAAAAUAUUGAUACGGAGAAUUAUAGUAUCAGUUAUUCAAUCACUUGUUUCAAUCACUUAUUUUCAAUAAUCGCGUGGAAAAAAAAAGUGCAGGAAAACCAUUGACGACGAGGAUGUACUCAAUUUGUGAUUAAAUAUAUUUUUCGACUAAUUCAUAACUAAACUGUUAUGAUUUACGAUUCAGAUUAUCCAGUUUACACGAUAAAGUUGCAUUUAUUUUAGGGAUUUACAUUUCCCAAGUACCAGUAUUUCUCUUCGUUCUUCUAAUUGUUUGUUUUUAUUACGUGAGGGGUGGAGCUCAAACAGUCGAAGUGUAUCUUUUGAAAUGUGUAUUUAUUACGAUAAAGAUGAUUUUCAAAGGAAAAUAUCUAGAGAAAUAAUAAAUUUCCCAACAUUUUCUUGCUGAAUAACUUGUUAUCGUGACCAAUUCAUGUUUAAUGAGGGGAAAAAAUUGGCUGCUUUCACCCCUUCACCACUUGCAUUAAUCUUAAUGCUUUUAUUUGCAACCACAAUGUACAUUAACAAUAUGUAUUUUAUCCGUUGAAAUUGUUUAAUACCUGGUAGCUUAACGCUUCAUUUUCGCAUUGCGCAAUUGUUAAGUUUUUAAUGAAAGAAAAAACAAAUAAUACUUCCAGUACAGAAAGUACGAAUAGAAUGAGAUCACCAGGCGAUAGAUUACUUAAUAAAUUUACUUAUGAAUUAAUAAAUAAAUUUUAUCGUACCAUAGAGAUAACGGUGAAAUCCACAGGCCAUACUUCUCGAGAAAUAUUGAUGUUUAUUAGCCAAUAACAACAUUCCAUAAACAAUAAUUAUAAGAUUCAUGAUUUAAAUGUGAAUGAGAACAAAACACCGAGAGCUUCGUCGGCAUCUGAUCAACUAUUUUAUUAUUACAACUUUUUAUUAUCUGUAGAUAGUUUAUACGUGGUUACAAUUUUAAUACUUUUCAUUGUAAAAAAAAUUGAAGUUUUCAGGCCUCUAUUCAACUAAUCAAAUGACAAUACACGCUGACACUUGAUUACGAGUUGAUUCAUCUAUCAAACGAAAAUAUGUCGAUUAUACUCAAAUGUAAUUAAUUAUCUAACACGACACUGCCCUGACACUGGGAAUUGUUUUUUUCGGAAAUGGUUAAACGAAUUAUUGGCAACUCUUGUAGCAUCACUUGAUUUUUAAUACGAUUAAACGCUUUUUUAAGGAG
Molecule: RNA transcript, 5718 nt
Organism: Diachasmimorpha longicaudata
Lineage: Eukaryota; Metazoa; Arthropoda; Insecta; Hymenoptera; Braconidae
Gene: l(2)gl
Gene name: lethal(2) giant larvae protein homolog 1
Exons: 11
Source: RefSeq, a predicted model, not a curated record